Molecule: microRNA, 21 nt
Filed under: Corchorus olitorius
Lineage: Eukaryota; Viridiplantae; Streptophyta; Magnoliopsida; Malvales; Malvaceae
Description: ssp-miR11
Source: RNAcentral
UAGUACUCCCUCCGUCCCUAA